AAUGAAGUGUCACAGAGGAAAACGAUAACCAUUAAAAGUAGCUACCUAUGUCAUGAGUGCUAUCGGAUGAUGGAAAAAAUGAAAGCUCUUAUACAAAGGUAAGUAUCAAUGAUUUUUCUUACACUUUUAUCACUUUUGAUUUUUAUGAAAUAAAACAGAGCGUUAAAGGAUUCGUAAAUUCAUUAAAACCCGAAAGAUGAUGAAUUAUGUCCGAGGAGGAUGAAGCCAGAAGAAACUCUGAUUGCGGCCCAAAGCGAUUCUGAUGUGCAAAUCGAUCGUGUAACAUUGGUAUAGGGGCGAAAGACUAAUCGAAUAAUCUAGUAGCUGGUUUCCUCUGAAGGAUAGCUGGAAUACAUAAUAAAGCUGUUAUAUUCCAUAAAGCGAAUAUAAUUGGAUAAAUUAUGAGACGAAAUGUCUUCAACUUAUUCGCAAACUUUCAAUAAAUAUCACAUCUUGCUUGCUUGAAUGAAGCGUAGACAAUGAAUGUGUGCUUCAUCAAGCGGGCUAUUUUUGAUGAACAAAACAGGCGCUAUGGGAUGAACCAAAUGUUGCAAAUUAGAAGUAAAAGAAAAAGAAUUUCUGCAGA
Onchocerca flexuosa is the source of this 586-nucleotide non-coding RNA. NCBI's taxonomy places the organism in Eukaryota, Metazoa, Nematoda, Chromadorea, Rhabditida, Onchocercidae. The record is from Rfam.